CCUACGGGUGGCUGCAGUAAGGAAUAUUGGUCAAUGCCCGCAAGGGUGAACCAGCCAUUCCGCGUGGAGGAUGAAGGCCCUAUGGGUUGUAAACUUCUUUUAGAUGGGAAGAAAAUGCUAGAUGUAUCUGGUACUGACGGUACCAUCAGAAUAAGCACCGGCUAACUCCGUGCCAGCAGCCGCGGUAAUACGGAGGGUGCGAGCGUUAUCCGGAAUUACUGGGUUUAAAGGGUGCGUAGGCGGAUGAUUAAGUCUAAGGUGAAAGUUUGUCGCUUAACGAUAAAAUUGCCUUGGAUACUGGUUAUCUUGAAUAAGGAUGAGGAUGGCGGAAUGUGGCAUGUAGCGGUGAAAUGCAUAGAUAUGCCAUAGAACACCAAUUGCGAAGGCAGCUAUCUGGUCUUUUAUUGACGCUGAGGCACGAAAGCGUGGGGAUCGAACAGGAUUAGAUACCCCAGUAGUC
This 460-nucleotide ribosomal RNA is filed under the name uncultured Saprospiraceae bacterium. RNAcentral describes it as "bacterial SSU rRNA". It matches the Rfam family "Bacterial small subunit ribosomal RNA", at positions 338 to 795 of the family's 1533-position model. Lineage: Bacteria; Pseudomonadati; Bacteroidota; Saprospiria; Saprospirales; Saprospiraceae. The record is from RNAcentral.